Molecule: long non-coding RNA, 278 nt
Organism: Gigantopelta aegis
Lineage: Eukaryota; Metazoa; Mollusca; Gastropoda; Neomphalida; Peltospiridae
Exons: 3
Source: RefSeq, a predicted model, not a curated record
UGACGAUGUUGAAGCUGACGUCGUUCCAAAACGACUUCGACUUCCCGCAACAACGUGUGGCGUAUUUAGUGAAAUCACCGAGCGACUGGAAAGUGAAGGUCACCUAAUUGGUGAUGGCUCUCAGAAUUACUCCCUGCCUACCGUUUGUAAAUCUGAUCUCACAUCUAUCUCUUCUACUACCUUGUCCAAGUUGAUUGAUGGGAUUUACGAGGACGACAUUUCCAGUUUCCAGAUCAUCGACUGUAGAUAUCCGUACGAGUUUGAAGGAGGUCACAUUA